GAUGAAGAACGUAGUGAAAUGCGAUACGUAAUGUGUAUUGCAGAAUUCAGUGAAUCAUCGAGUCUUUGAACGCACAUUGCGCCCCCUGGUAUUCCGGGGGGCAUGCCUGUCCGAGCGUCAUUGCUGCCCUCAAGCACGGCUUGUGUGUUGGGCCUCCGUCCUCCUCCCGGGGGACGGGCCCGAAAGGCAGCGGCGGCACCGCGUCCGGUCCUCGAGCGUAUGGGGCUUCGUCACCCGCUCUUGUAGGCCCGGCCGGCGCUUGCCGACACAUCAAUCUUUUUUCCAGGUUGACCUCGGAUCAGGUAGGGAUACCCGCUGAACUUAAGCAUAUCAAUAAGCGGAGGA
This 345-nucleotide unclassified non-coding RNA is filed under the name soil metagenome. Its description in RNAcentral is "partial contains 5.8S ribosomal RNA, internal transcribed spacer 2, and large subunit ribosomal RNA". The stretch from base 1 to 120 matches the Rfam family "5.8S ribosomal RNA", at positions 35 to 154 of the family's 154-position model. The record is from RNAcentral.